CGCGAAACCUUUACAAUGCACGAAAGUGUGAUAAGGCAACUCCUUGUGCUUAUCCAAAAGAUAGGCUUUUUAGUAUGUAAUGUAUACUAAGAAUAAGUGAUGGGCAAGACCGGUGCCAGCAGCCGCGGUAAUACCGGCGUCACAAGUGGAGAUCACGAUUACUGGGUCUAAAGUGUUCGUAGCUGGUCAUAUAAGUCUCUUGUGAAAGUUCUGUAGCUUGACUCAGAAUUGCAAGAGAUACUGUAUGACUUGAGACCGGAAGAGGUGUAAAAGUAUGGAUUGGGUA
RNAcentral lists this ribosomal RNA (286 nucleotides) under uncultured euryarchaeote. Its description in RNAcentral is "partial 16S ribosomal RNA". It matches the Rfam family "Archaeal small subunit ribosomal RNA", at positions 340 to 628 of the family's 1478-position model. The record is from RNAcentral. Lineage: Archaea; Methanobacteriati; Methanobacteriota.